RNAcentral lists this microRNA precursor (83 nucleotides) under Bombyx mori (domestic silkworm). RNAcentral describes it as "mir-2807 microRNA precursor family". It matches the Rfam family "mir-2807 microRNA precursor family". The record is from Rfam by way of RNAcentral. Lineage: Eukaryota; Metazoa; Arthropoda; Insecta; Lepidoptera; Bombycidae.
UUAGCUCAUAUUUGUAUGGAAUGGGACGUUUGCCUACGUUUGCUGCUAGGGGCGCUGUUCCAACUGCAUACAAAAUUGGGCUA